This 297-nucleotide ribosomal RNA is filed under the name uncultured eukaryote. RNAcentral's name for it is "partial 18S ribosomal RNA". It matches the Rfam family "Eukaryotic small subunit ribosomal RNA", at positions 1470 to 1796 of the family's 1831-position model. The record is from RNAcentral.
CCCUUAGACACUCUAGGCGGCACGCGCGCUACAAUGGGUGGAAGAACGUGUUACUGCCUCCGAAAGGAGGGGUGAAUCACGAAUUCUUGCCCGUGAAUGGGAUAGUUUGUUGCAAUUUUCGGACUUGAACUAGGAAUCCCUUGUAAACAUGCUCAAGAAUAGCGUGUUGAAUACGUCCCUGCCGUUUGUACACACCGCCCGUCGUUUCUUCCGACUGAUACUCAUUGUGAGUUGCAAGGACCCUUUAUUGGGAAAUUGCUGCAAAUGCUUUGUAUUGGAGGAAGAAAAGUCGUAACA